RNAcentral lists this ribosomal RNA (400 nucleotides) under uncultured bacterium. RNAcentral describes it as "bacterial SSU rRNA". It matches the Rfam family "Bacterial small subunit ribosomal RNA", at positions 126 to 524 of the family's 1533-position model. The record is from RNAcentral.
CUACCUCAACCUGGGGGAUAGCCCGGAGAAAUCCGGAUUAAUACCGCAUAAAACCACGGUACGGCAUCGUACCAUGGUCAAACAUUCAUGGGGAUGAGAUGGGCAUGCGUGCCAUUAGUUAGUUGGCGGGGUAACGGCCCACCAAGACUUCGAUGGCUAGGGGAUCUGAGAGGAUGGCCCCCCACACUGGUACUGAGACACGGACCAGACUCCUACGGGAGGCAGCAGUAAGGAAUAUUGGUCAAUGGGCGCAAGCCUGAACCAGCCAUGCCGCGUGCAGGAAGACGGCCCUACGGGUUGUAAACUGCUUUUAUACGGGAAUAAACCCAGAUAUGUAUAUCUGGCUGAAUGUACUGUAAGAAUAAGGAUCGGCUAACUCCGUGCCAGCAGCCGCGGUAAU